AUGGCUUUAACUGUACAGCAUGGUUAAUUGCAUUAUUAACUAAAUUAAUUGUGUUAGGGCAAACAUCGUCGAUCCAAGCUUCGAAACAACUAGCUGCAUGCACGUGUCUACGUUGUAUCUCAUGUUGCACUUCGAUCACCAUUAGAAUUCAUUAUCACUUGGGGAACUCCCCUACCAGUUGUUAGUCAUUAGAGUUACAAAGCUCACUGAUUGGUCCAUACGUUUACACAUUGUGUGUGUUCUAGAAACUUCCACCAAUCACACGCAUGUAUGUUUAUACCUACUAGCCUGUAUUGUAGCAACCAUAUUGUGCGGCCAUACAAGUAAUCUUGAAACUGUUGCUGUGCUCUAUGAUAAUGUCCAGAAGUUCUAUUACGCAAACUCAUUUUAUUGCACUGCAACUGUUGUCUGCAGCGUUUGUGCUUUGCAAGCCACCGGAUUCGGAUAAGCCUGCAGGCGAGCACGUGCAUGGAAGAGAGAAGAUUGGAGAUACCGAACACUAUGUGGAUGGCGUGCAUAACCCGGAGUAUGAUCGUCAAGUUUUGUUGGGUGAGGAUGAAGCAACGGAGUUUGAUAAGUUGAGCUUAGAAGAAAGGAAAGAGAGGCUCAAAAUUGUCUUUCAAAAGAUCGACAAAGAUGAAGAUGGACUUUUGACAAGAGAAGAGUUGAAAAAUUGGGCGAAUCACGUUUACUCUAGAAAUCACAGGAUUGACACUGAGAAGCACUGGGAUGAGCAUGAGAGAGCUGACAAGGAUAAGUUGAGAUGGUCGGAGUUUUUAGCUCUAGGCUAUGGAGUGAGUUCUGAAACAGAGCUAGAGGAGAGACCGGAGUUUACUGACAAGUUCAGACAAAGGCUCUUGCGUGAAAAGCGCCGAUGGAUGGUAGCAGACAAAAAUAAAGACAAGAUACUUACACUAGCAGAGUAUUACGACUUUCUUCAUCCUGAAGAUUCGAACGACACAAAACACGUUUACGUUGAAGAGCAAUUUGAAUUCAUGGACAAAAACCGGGACAAAAUCGUGACAGUGCAAGAAUACAUAGUACCCCAGCACUCAUUCACAUCCCAGCUGUUGAUGACAUGUAUCCACCUGAUUCAAGAGCGAAAGAUGUUGAAGAACCAGACUGGGUUAAAGCUCAACGAGAGCAGUUUGAUCAAUACUUCGACAAGAACAAAGAUGGCAAAAUGGACAAGCAGGAAGUGAAGAUGAUGAUGUUUCCAGAAAAUUACGACCGCGAUGAUGCUGAAGCAGCACAUCUCAUUUAUCAUGCAGACACUGAUGAGGAUGAAAAGCUGUCGGAGGAGGAAGUCAUGAAAAAGUACGAUAUCUUUGAAAACAGCCAUGCCAUCGACUUUGGCAACGUGCUCGUUCAUCACGAUGAAUUCUGAUCUCUUCACUAUAUCGAGUAUCAAACUGGACUCUGAUUUGAUGUUUGACCCUUCAUCUGUGUGAAACGUUGAACUGUGUAUGUAUGUGUGUCUGUGUUUACAUGCUGCAUAUGCAUGCUCUUUGAGGUCAAGAUCUUGUGUCCAUUGAGCACUAUAGUCUUGAUAUGUUGAUUGUGAAUUUCAAGCAUUAAAUUCUUUCCCAGCUCAAAAAUUGAUU
Molecule: RNA transcript, 1604 nt
Organism: Corticium candelabrum
Lineage: Eukaryota; Metazoa; Porifera; Homoscleromorpha; Homosclerophorida; Plakinidae
Gene name: calumenin-like
Exons: 7
Source: RefSeq, a predicted model, not a curated record